GUGCCAGCAGCCGCGGUAAUACGUAGGGUGCGAGCGUUGUCCGGAAUUAUUGGGCGUAAAGGGCUCGUAGGCGGUUUGUCGCGUCGGGAGUGAAAACGCCGUGCUUAACACGGCGCUUGCUUCCGAUACGGGCAGACUAGAGGUAUUCAGGGGAGAACGGAAUUCCUGGUGUAGCGGUGAAAUGCGCAGAUAUCAGGAGGAACACCGGUGGCGAAGGCGGUUCUCUGGGAAUGACCUGACGCUGAGGAGCGAAAGUGUGGGGAGCGAACAGGAUUAGAUACCCUGGUAGUCC
RNAcentral lists this ribosomal RNA (292 nucleotides) under uncultured bacterium. RNAcentral's name for it is "partial 16S ribosomal RNA". It matches the Rfam family "Bacterial small subunit ribosomal RNA", at positions 505 to 796 of the family's 1533-position model. The record is from RNAcentral.